This is a non-coding RNA of Podarcis lilfordi (Lilford's wall lizard), 1580 nucleotides long. The record is from the annotation of a GenBank genome assembly. Lineage: Eukaryota; Metazoa; Chordata; Lepidosauria; Squamata; Lacertidae.
CUCUUAAGUUAGUAGGAGCCCUGUGACUCUUUGUGAUGACCGAGAGUCACAGUUGUGGAAUAUGGCCAUCCAUCCAGAACUGAAGAGGGGAAUAUCAGGGCUCCCUUCUGUCAGGCACUGGGCAGAGGAGGAGGAGGAACGGUGGAGACCUCCUCCCCAUCCUGACCCUUCCAGGGAGAAGGAAGAGGAAGACAGUAUAGAUUUACAACAGGGGUUUGAGGGAGGUCACAGCUCAGAGGCAGAUGAAGGGAAAAGUUAGGAAAUCAUGCGAGAGCCAGAGCAAUGCAUGGCUGACACGUUGCCAUUAGAAAACAUUCCAGAUCCACCAUCUCACAGAUCCCGGCGAGCCUUAAAAAUAGGAGAGCAAAUAGCUGAAAGAUAGAGGGCAUAUAGUAGCAACUGUAGAAGUGACAAGGGAGGAAUUGGGAGAGAUGGGGGAUGGAGAUUCACUCAGGACAAUGCCAUUAUCCAAGAGGCUGAGUUCUAUAGCUUCUUUCUGUAAAGAUUGAAAUAAAAAAGGACUGUAAUAAACUUUUCCUUGUCUUUAUACUUCUCUGGGCAACCAGCCGGGAGCCGCUGACAGCAUCCUGACACCUUCAAACGGAGAGCUGGAGAGACAUUUCCCUGUAUUUCACUGGUGUGUCUGCAUGUGAAUAAAGCAACCAUCUUGGGACAGCCUGUGGUGCAGGUAUUUCCUACUAGAUUAGAAUCCCUCCAGGAGAGAACACACCAAUUGUGUAUGAGGGAGAACCAUGAGACACCUGUACAUUUCAGUGAUUUUAUACACACAGCAGACCAGAAUUAUGCCACGGGGAAAGAGAUGUUAAGCCAUUGUACAAUUCUGAGCACAAUUCAAAGUGUUGGUGUUGACCUUUAAAGCCCUAAACGGCCUUGGCCCAGUAUACCUGAAGGAGCAUCUCCACCCCCAUCGUUCUGCCCGGACACUGAGGUCCAGCGCCGAGGGCCUUCUGGCAGUUCCCUCACUGUGAGACGCAAAGCUACAGGGAACCAGGCAGAGAGCUUUCUCGGUAGUGGCGCCCGCCCUGUGGAACGCCCUCCCAUCAGAUGUCAAAGAGAUAAACAACUACCUGACAUUUAGAAGACAUCUGAAGGCAGCCCUGUUCGGGGAAGUUUUUAAUGUGACAUUUUAAUGUAUUUUUAAUAUUUGUUGGAAGCCGCACAUGCGUGGGGUACAAAUAAUAAACUAUUAUUAUUAUUAUUAUUAUUAUUAUUAUUAUUAUUAUUACAGUGAUGUGCAAAGGGGAAUGUAGUUUAGGGCCUGACUUUUGUUAGGAGAGCAUUGUUCUCUUGGGGUGGCAAUGCUGUGUCUGGUCUGUACUGAAGAGGCUGUUUAGGUUUGGGCUCAUGUUGCGGAGAGAUGGAGGGGUUGUUUUAUGGUUGGGUUAGUUCAGUGCUGCAUGUUGGUUUUAAAUAGUUUUGUACUUCUGUGGACGUCUUUGAAAGAUUUGUAUAAAGUGCCCGACAAGUUAAGUAAAUAAUAAUGAUCAAUAGUAACUAUUAUGUGCCUCUUUCCACAGUCUGGUCAGGUUAGUCAAGUGGUUUACAACAGUGUGAGCUGG